RNAcentral lists this ribosomal RNA (253 nucleotides) under uncultured bacterium. RNAcentral describes it as "partial 16S ribosomal RNA". It matches the Rfam family "Bacterial small subunit ribosomal RNA", at positions 524 to 776 of the family's 1533-position model. The record is from RNAcentral.
UACGAAGGGGGCUAGCGUUGCUCGGAAUCACUGGGCGUAAAGCGCACGUAGGCGGCUUCUUAAGUCAGGGGUGAAAUCCUGGAGCUCAACUCCAGAACUGCCUUUGAUACUGAGAGGCUUGAGUCCGGGAGAGGUGAGUGGAACUGCGAGUGUAGAGGUGAAAUUCGUAGAUAUUCGCAAGAACACCAGUGGCGAAGGCGGCUCACUGGCCCGGUACUGACGCUGAGGUGCGAAAGCGUGGGGAGCAAACAGG